Long non-coding RNA from Homo sapiens (human), 458 nucleotides. RefSeq lists it as uncharacterized. Lineage: Eukaryota; Metazoa; Chordata; Mammalia; Primates; Hominidae. The record is from RefSeq and is a predicted model, not a curated record. The transcript is spliced from 3 exons.
GACUGAUACACAUGCCAUACCUAUAUUUCUGACUUACAAAAGCAUGAGCUAAUAAACAUGUGCUGUUUUAAACUGCUACGUUCAUGCUUCCUCUCAGUAUCUGAUGACAAUGAGAAAUGCAUUUGAAGAGAUAAACACUUCCCGAAAGACCAUCAUGAUAGGAGCUGAUACUCACAGAUGCCUUAGUGAAUGAUUACGUCUCAGGAUGCCAUAAGGAAUACACAGAAGGGUACAAUCUCAAGCCUUGUCUGUAUCGAGUGCUGGAGAAUAUGUGGACAAUAGGAACCAGCAUUCUCUUCUGUCAGGAGUAUGAACCAAAGUAGCCAAUCCAGAGUACAAUCUGACAUUGCUCAAAGAAAUUGAGAAUGCACAUUCCCAGGACCCAGCAAUUCACGUUUGAAAGAAGAUAUGAAUGCAGCACUGUUUAUAGUAAUGGGAAGUUGGAACAGCUUCCUGUA